CGAUAUCGACGUAGUUGAUCCUGGCUACAGAACGAACGCUGGCGGCAUGCCUAACACAUGCAAGUCGAACGAACCCUUCGGGUGAGUGGCGCACGGGUGCGUAACGCGUGGGAACCUGCCCUUAGGUUCGGAAUAACGUUUCGAAAGGAACGCUAAUACCGGAUAAUGUCUUCGGACCAAAGAUUUAUCGCCUUUGGAUGGGCCGCGUUGGAUUAGCUAGUUGGUGGGGUAAAGGCUCACCAAGGCGACGAUCCAUAGCUGGUCUUAGAGGAUGAUCAGCCACACUGGGACUGAGACACGGCCCAGACUCCUACGGGAGGCAGCAGUGGGGGAUAUUGGACAAUGGGCGAAAGCCUGAUCCAGCAAUGCCGCGUGAGUGAUGAAGGCCUUAGGGUUGUAAAGCUCUUUUACCAGGGAUGAUAAUGACAGUACCUGGAGAAUAAGCUCCGGCUAACUCCGUG
RNAcentral lists this ribosomal RNA (461 nucleotides) under uncultured bacterium. RNAcentral's name for it is "bacterial SSU rRNA". It matches the Rfam family "Bacterial small subunit ribosomal RNA", at positions 1 to 507 of the family's 1533-position model. The record is from RNAcentral.